RNAcentral lists this ribosomal RNA (482 nucleotides) under uncultured bacterium. RNAcentral describes it as "bacterial SSU rRNA". It matches the Rfam family "Bacterial small subunit ribosomal RNA", at positions 29 to 487 of the family's 1533-position model. The record is from RNAcentral.
AACUAACGCUGGCGGCGUGCCUAACACAUGCAAGUCGUACGAGAAAGCCGGCUUCGGCUGGUGAGUAAAGUGGCGCACGGGGUGAGUAACGCGUGGAUAAUCUGCCCUUAAGUGUGGAAUAACGUACCGAAAGGUGCGCUAAUACCGCAUAAUGCCUGGCAACACAAGUUGUCCGGCCAAAGAAGGCCUCUGUUUACAAGCUUUCGCUUCAGGAUGAGUCCGCGUACCAUUAGCUUGUUGGUGGGGUAAUGGCCUACCAAGGCUGCGAUGGUUAGCUGGUCUGAGAGGAUGAUCAGCCACACUGGAACUGAGACACGGUCCAGACUCCUACGGGAGGCAGCAGUGAGGAAUAUUGCGCAAUGGGGCAACCCUGACGCAGCAACGCCGCGUGAGUGAGGAAGUUUUCGGACUGUAAAGCUCUGUCGAGCGGGAAGAAGUGUACCAUGGCUAAUAUCCAUGAUAUUUGACGGUACCGCUAGAGG